UAGGUCAAGACAGUCACCACAACCCGAGCUGCCAUUUUCAUUUUCUGCCAUGGAUAUCUGACAGUCCUUCACAUUCAAGAAAAGAUUAAAAGAAAAACUUUGUUUCCAACCAUUUUUAUUGUGCAGGAGUAUUAUCUGACAACACAAGUUUUUUUGAAAUAGAACUACAUGACACAUAUUAAGAAAUUUAUGAAGGAAAAACUACAAGAAAAUAUACUAGAAGUUUUCAGUAUUCUCAUCCCAAUAGAUGACAAAAGGUCUGGGACAAGAUGACACAUGGCAAUUCUGUCUCUGUGAUCUGACCAUCAGGAAAAGAACUCUUAAUAAUCCAGGCUAACCUUUGCUGCAGUCAAAUAUACCCAAUUUCCUCCUUCAGUGGUAUAUCAGACAUCAGCUUUCU
Molecule: non-coding RNA, 400 nt
Organism: Callithrix jacchus (white-tufted-ear marmoset)
Lineage: Eukaryota; Metazoa; Chordata; Mammalia; Primates; Cebidae
Source: RefSeq, a predicted model, not a curated record